Molecule: ribosomal RNA, 484 nt
Filed under: uncultured bacterium
Lineage: Bacteria
Description: partial 16S ribosomal RNA
Rfam family: Bacterial small subunit ribosomal RNA
Source: RNAcentral
AUUGAACGCUGGCGGCAUGCUUUACACAUGCAAGUCGAACGGCAGCGCGGGCUUCGGCCUGGGGCGGGUGGGGAAAGGGGGGGGAAAUGCACCGGACCUUGCCCGGUGUUGGGGGAAGGCCGGGCGAAACCGGAUUUAUUCUUGCUUCGGACUUGAGGUGGAAGCGGGGGGACCGAAAGGCUUCGCCUUUUUGGGGGGGCCGAUGUGGGUUUACCAAGUUGGUGGGGUAAAGGCUUACCAAGGCGGCGUUCCGUAGCUGGUCUGAGAGGCCGACCAGCCACACUGGGACUGAGACACGGCCCAGACUCCUACGGGAGGCAGCAGUGGGGAAUUUUGGACAAUGGGGGCAACCCUGAUCCAGCCAUGCCGCGUGCGGGAAGAAGGCCUUCGGGUUGUAAACCGCUUUUGUUCGGGAAGAAAUCCUCUGGGCUAAUACCCCGGGGGGAUGACGGUACCGGAAGAAUAAGCACCGGCUAACUACGUG